AUUAGUGGCGAACGGGUGAGUAACACGUGAGUAACCUGCCCUCCACUUUGGGAUAACUCCGAGAAAUCGGGGCUAAUACUGGAUAUGACUAUGGCCCGCAUGGGUUGUGGUGGAAAGUUUUUCGGUGGGGGAUGGGCUCGCGGCCUAUCAGUUUGUUGGUGAGGUAGUGGCUCACCAAGGCGAUGACGGGUAGCCGGCCUGAGAGGGCGACCGGCCACACUGGGACUGAGACACGGCCCAGACUCCUACGGGAGGCAGCAGUGGGGAAUAUUGCACAAUGGGCGAAAGCCUGAUGCAGCGACGCCGCGUGGGGGAUGACGGCCUUCGGGUUGUAAACCUCUUUCAGCAAGGAAGAAGCGAAAGUGACGGUACUUGCAGAAGAAGCGCCGGCUAACUACGUGCCAGCAGCCGCGGUAAUACGUAGGGCGCAAGCGUUGUCCGGAAUUAUUGGGCGUAAAGGGCUUGUAGGUGGCUUGUCGCGUCUGCCGUGAAAACCCAGGGCUUAACUCUGGGCGUGCGGUGGGUACGGGCAGGCUAGAGUGCGGUAGGGGAGACUGGAAUUCCUGGUGUAGCGGUGAAAUGCGCAGAUAUCAGGAGGAACACCGAUGGCGAAGGCAGGUCUCUGGGCCGUUACUGACACUGAGAAGCGAAAGCAUGGGGAGCGAACAGGAUUAGAUACCCUGGUAGUCCAUGCCGUANACGUUGGGCACUAGGUGUGGGGAGCAUUCCACGUUUUCCGCGCC
RNAcentral lists this ribosomal RNA (743 nucleotides) under uncultured bacterium. RNAcentral describes it as "bacterial SSU rRNA". It matches the Rfam family "Bacterial small subunit ribosomal RNA", at positions 91 to 847 of the family's 1533-position model. The record is from RNAcentral.